GCCUGGGGUGGAGAGGGUGUGGGGUUUGAGAAGGAGUUUGGGUGAAGAAGGUGGUUGUGAUAUGGGUAGGGCUUGGGGUGCAGGAUUCAGAAGGAGGUACGGAUAUAGAAGAGGAUUCUGAUCUGGAGGAGGAGGGGGUUUCAGGGUGUGGGAGGGAGUUGUGCCCUAGGAGAAGGGGAUGCAGAGGGUUUGAGUGGUAACCUGGGGCAGAGGAAUGGGGUGCAAGAUCAAGGAGGGGGUAUGGGUGCAGGAGAGGGGUCUGGCCUGGGGGAGGGAUGUAGGAGCAGCUGCAGGGUCAGGGAGGAAGUUAUGACCUGGAGCAGGUGGUGAAAGAGGGUAGAGUGUUGGCGACCUGGUGGUUGGAGGAGAGGGGGAGUGGAGUGCCAGAGGCAGGCUCUGGCUGGGAGGCUCUUACUUAGGUGGCUCCCAGCCAGCAGCCCUGCAGGAACCUAAAAACUGCCUAUCUGCUGCAUCUCCAGACUGGUAUGCUGCCCCUACCCCCGGCAAAAUCUCAGCUCCUAUUGGGCAGAAACUAGUUCCAGUAAGGAAGCUAUAGGCUGGAUCCAGCCUUCGGGCGACAUCUUGCCCUGCCCUGUUUUACUGAGUUAACAACUACCCAUUUGUUGAUUUGGCACAUUAAUGCAUGCACAGAGUAAAUGAAGUACUACAAAAACUAGCAUUUAACUGUUGAUUUUCUGUAUUCUGGUUCAGGUAUUACACUGAACUAAACCAUUUUUCUGUACAGCAUUCACUACUGACAAAACUAAUUUCCAUAUGUGAACAAGGGCCGAGGAUUAUCAUUAGCUAGAAGGAAUGGAUUCACAUACCAUAGUUAUUAAACCAUCAUGUUGAAUACAAAUCAUCCCCUGAUUUGACAUGUCCCUCAGGAGUCCAUCAACAUAUUCAUAACAAAAUGGCUGCCUCAGGUUCUCACCCAAACCAAUCAAUCCAUCCAUCCACACUGACAGUUUCUUCAUUUUCUUCCAUAUAUAACUCUCCGGGAAGAUUUAGCUACACUUUGAAUUAAGUACAUCGACAGAAGUACGUGGACUCUAGUCUUAUAACUCAAUUGUUCUGUGACAGUAUCACAAGAAAGUAAAGUAAGGACUGUAAGUGGUUUUCAAACUGCUUCUUUCUGUUUGUACACUUCUGGAUGUACCUAAGCAACAAUAUUUCUAUGCAGCUUAGCAUAACGUACUUUCCUGUGACCACUUCAUAGUGGUGGAGCUGAAUUUAGUUGGAAAGUUUUCACUACGUUGUCUCAAAUCAGUUACUUGUGAUGUAGAGGGAAGACUUCUCAAGAACAAGAAAAAGCAGAGUAUUGAGAAGGGUUUACACAUGGUUUUUCAUUUCUACAGUAUAGUAGUAUUACAUAAAGUCUCCACAUCAUUUUCAACUGACCUAUUUACCCAAAAUGCUGCAUUUGAACAAUAUUUGUAUUAUUUUCAUUGAAAACAAAGUUCUAUAGAUAGAACACACCUUCUUUUGUGUAGGGAUAACUAGAAUGAUGUUGGUUUAUAAUUACAAACCCAUCUUUUCACUACAUAAUUACAAAAUAAUCUGCAUUCAUGCAUGUAAACAAGGGAUAGGAAUGUUUACUGUAAAAUUUAGCCACAGUAACAACACAGAACCCCGAUUAUAACCUAGUGUAUUCUAGAAUACACUGAAAAACUGCAAAAUUCCCAGGUCCUGCCAACACUGAGUAUGCCAACAUACUGCGUGAACACUUAUUUGGAGUUUGCAACAACAACCUUUUCCUUUUGUUAAGGAAAUCCACUAGCAUUCCCACACUAUAUAAACAUUUGAAUGGUCUAAGUUGAGUCUGUCCAGAUGAUGCAGCAUGUCCACCAGAAAUGCCAAAUCUAAAACCCAGUGUGGAUCUGAGAACUCGGGAUAUUCUUUAUGCUUCUCUUCCAUGAACAGUUUCACAGCGUCCAAAAGUUCAAAAAAACGAAACAGCACUUGGCCCUUUGAAAGCCACCUUACAGUACAGUGCAGUGGCAGGUCUCCUGGAAGAUCUUGGUCAAGCUCAGAAAUUAUAUUCUUGAAUUGUCUGUAGUUAAGAGCAUCUGUGCGAAUAUACCUGACAAUUUCUAGCACAGUUUCAUUACAUGGUCUAAAUUCAGGUUUUUAGACACCAGUUGCUCCCAAUGGAUGUUGCAGUGAAACAUCCAGAACUCAGGGAACCUGUCAUCAGCUCUACAUAGCCCCACAAGUCCAUUCACAGAUCCAAUCAUAGACAGCGCCCCAUCCAUUGCUAUUGCUGCAAGUUUCGGUAAAGGCAGAUUUGUUUUUGCAAACACUUCCAUCAGUGUUUCUUUCACAUCAGUGCCGCAGAUUCUGUAUUUUAAUGGUACAGUAUCUGGGAGUUCUUCGUUGAUUACACAAUCCUCUGUACAAAUAUUGCCAAUUGAGGUUUGUCCUGUACAUCAUAAGACUCAUCCAGUGCAAUACUGAGGUACUCACAUUUCUGAAGAUCUGAAUACAAAUGUGAUUUAAGUGCAUCAUUUAUGUCAGAUAUUCUGUGUUUGAUUGUGUGGCGUAAGAGUUGAAGGCCUGAAACCAUUCUUUUUAGAUUGUCAUUUUCUGGAGACAAGAUGGAAACAACAUCUACAAGGCAUUUUUUUAACAAACUCGCCUUCGUUGUAAGAUUUUUUAGUGCGGGCAAUGAGUCAAGUGUAACUUUCUGAGAAUGCUUGGAAAAUUUACGGAACCCUCCAGUCUGUUUUUCUAUUUGACUUUUCCAAGUUUUAGUUUGUGAUUGCGAAGUUCAGUACCUUUUGGAAAUUCCCAAUCGAUGUUAGCAUAGUGUGUUAUGAAAUGGCGCUGGAGAUUUGGACACUUGAAAUGUGCUAACAAAGUCUGGCAUAUCAGACAGAGUGGUUUGCCAUUGCAUUCAAUGAAAAAAUAUGAAUUUUCCCACUCUGUUAAGAAUGUUCUAUGUUCUUUAUAUUUGUGCUUAUUUUUACAUUUUCCUUCCAUAUUGAAAGAGGAUUACCACAUGCUGCAAAUUAUAAAGAAAAUAUCAGACACUGCUAAACAUCUCACCAACAAAAUGUGUUCCCCUCUCUGUUCCCUUCCUCUCCAUCAUUAGCUGUCCCCAGCCCUUGCUCACUCUCACUGGGUUGAAAC
This is a non-coding RNA of Pelodiscus sinensis (Chinese soft-shelled turtle), 3132 nucleotides long. The record is from RefSeq and is a predicted model, not a curated record. Lineage: Eukaryota; Metazoa; Chordata; Testudines; Trionychidae.